Tricharina praecox is the source of this 90-nucleotide non-coding RNA. Lineage: Eukaryota; Fungi; Ascomycota; Pezizomycetes; Pezizales; Pyronemataceae. The record is from the annotation of a RefSeq genome assembly.
GGGGGUCUGGUUUAGGGGUAUAACGUCUCAUUCGCAUCUUUGAUAGAUCGUGACUUGAGAAGGUCUUGGGUUCGAUUCCCAAGUCCUCCA